This 466-nucleotide ribosomal RNA is filed under the name Streptomyces sp. WAC 01420. RNAcentral's name for it is "bacterial SSU rRNA". It matches the Rfam family "Bacterial small subunit ribosomal RNA", at positions 65 to 522 of the family's 1533-position model. The record is from RNAcentral. Lineage: Bacteria; Bacillati; Actinomycetota; Actinomycetes; Kitasatosporales; Streptomycetaceae.
AGGGGCAGCAGCUUUAUAGCAAUAUAGAGGCUGGCGACCGGCAAACGGGUGCGGAACACGUACACAACCUUCCUUUAAGAGGGGGAUAGCCCAUAGAAAUGUGGAUUAAUACCCCGUAACAUAUCGGUGUGGCAUCACACUGUUAUUAUAGUUUCGACGCUUGAAGGUGGGCACGCGCAAGAUUAGCUAGUUGGUGAGGUAACGGCUCACCAAGGCGAUGAUCUUUAGGGGGCCUGAGAGGGUGAUCCCCCACACUGGUACUGAGACACGGACCAGACUCCUACGGGAGGCAGCAGUGAGGAAUAUUGGUCAAUGGGUGCAAGCCUGAACCAGCCAUCCCGCGUGAAGGACGACUGCCCUAUGGGUUGUAAACUUCUUUUGUAUAGGGAUAAACCUACCCUCGUGAGGGUAGCUGAAGGUACUAUACGAAUAAGCACCGGCUAACUCCGUGCCAGCAGCCGCGGUA